UUUUUUUUUUUUUUGCGGUACGCAGGCCUCUCACUGUUGUGGCCUCUCCUGCUGCGGAGCACAGGCUCCGGACGCGCAGGCUCAGCGGCCAUGGCUCACGGGCCCAGCCGCUCCGCGGCAUGUGGGAUCUUCCCGGACCGGAGCACGAACCCGUGUCCCCUGCAUUGGCAGGCAGACUCUCAACCACUGCGCCACCAGGGAAGCCCUCUUGUAGGAUAAUUUUUGUUUGGUUUGGUUUUAGAAAAUUUACUGAGAAAUGGAGGGGUAUAAUUAGAAUAAGAACAAAAAACGUAAUCCCCUGAGAUUAUUUUAUAAAAUUCAUAGUUUGCUCACCCCAUGGCAAAGUAAUCACAAGAUUGAUCUACUAAUAACUUCAAGGUAUAGCCCUAGAGUAGCUUUAAACAAAGACAUUAGUCUGUAUUCAGCAUUAUUUUCAACCUGGCUUAUUCUAUGAGUAUGAUUUAUAACCCUGAACUAUGAUUUAUCAUAUAUAUCAAGAGAGAUAGUUUCACAUUUUCUAGUGCUAUCUUUGUUUCAGCUCAUGUUUCUUAUAAGAAAAUUGCAAAUAAUUCAUCAAGGUGGAAUAUGACCAAGCUGGAAUAUGUCAAAAUGUGACUAAAAUAUAGAUUACAAGUCAAAUGGCUUCUACAGACACAUGGCCAAUAUACUGUUUACCUUAAUUAAGAACCAGUACUUUCAUUUUAACCUUUGAUAAAAAUGAGCUCUUUAAAAGUAAGAACUGUGAAUUAUUCAUCCUAAAUUACUUGUGCUUGCUUAGCAAAGUACAUUCUAGAUACUUACCUAAUGCUCAUUAGGUAACACAAAUAUAAGAUUUAAGAAACCUGUUUUGAAAUGUAAUAGGUAGUAAAGGUCUAUCCUGAAAUGUUCUGUUCCAUAAAUUUAAACAUUAAUUUUUAACUGAGAACAAUCACAAAUCAAUUGGAAGAGAUUUUCCUAUAUGAUUAAAAAAUAUCGAAUUUUAAAAGGUGCAUGCCAUAGAACACUGCUUUCAGAGUUUAACGUGGUUUUAUCACGUAAGAACCCAGGCUCUCAAAGGUUUUAUUAUAAUAGGCUGAUACGGAAGGUCAUGGCUCAAGAAGAAAUAUAAUUACUGUGUUUCCCAUGAUUAUUUUACCACAGAAUGUUUUUCAUUGAAUAUAUUUUAGGAAAGUUUGAUGUAAAUGAUGCUGCAAAUUUCAGGUUAGUUUAUUUUUUGCUGAUAUAUUUUCUACAUUUUUUAAUAAGAGAUUUUUUUUCCACAUAACAUUUCAUACAGCUCCUUAAAGGCCUCACUGAACUUAUGUUUCAGGUUGAAUUUAUCUCAGAAAAUGGAGACAUACUGACAGUAUUACUUGUGCCAGGACAGGAUUUUUUUUUCCCCACAUCAUUUGUAAGCUCUCCAGAAUAUAUAACUAAGUAGAGCUUUUCUUGAGAGACCUUCAAGAUGGCGGAAGAGUAAGACGUGGAGAUCACCUUCCUCCCCACAAAUACAUGAGAAAUACAUCUACAUGUGUAACAACUCCUACAGAACACUUACUGAAUGCUGGCAGAAGACCUCAGACUUCCCAAAAGGCAAGAAACUCCCCACGUACCUGGGUAGGGCAAAAGAAGAAAACAGACAAAAGAAUAGGGACAGUACCUGCACCAGUGGGAGGGAGCUGUGAAGGAGGAAAGGUUUCCACACACUAGGAAGCCCCUUCACUGGCGGAGAUGGGGGGUGGGGGGGGGGAGCUUUGGAGCCACGGAGGAGAGCACAGCAGCAGGCGGGCAGAGGGAAAAGCAGAGAGAUUCCCGCACAGAGGAUAGGUGCCGACCAGCACUCACCAGCCCGAGAGGCUCGUCUGCUCACCUGCCGGGGCGGUCGGGGUUUGGGAGCUGAGGCUCGGGCUUCGGAGGUCAAAUCCCAGGGAGAGGACUGGGGUUGGCUGCGUGGACACAGCCUGAAGGGGGUUAGUGCACCACGGCCAGCCGGGAGGGAGUCCGGGAAAAAGUCUGGAGCUGCCGAAGAGGCGAGACCAUUCUUAAGGGGUGCGCAAGGAGAGAGGAUUCAGAGCGUUGCCUAAAUGAGCUCCAGAGAUGGGCGCGAGCUGCGGCGAUCAGCGCGGACCCCAGAGAUGGGCAUGAAACGCGAAGGCUGCUGCUGCCGCCACCAAGAAGCCUGUGUGCGAGCACAGGUCACUAUCCACACCCCCCUUCCGGGGAGCCUGUGCAGCCCGCCACUGCCAGGGUCCCGUGAUCCAGGGACAACUUCCCCGGGAGAACACGUGGCACGCCUCAGGCUGGUGCAAAGUCAUGCCGGCCUCUGCCUCCGCAGGCUCGCCCCGCAUUCUGUACCCCUCCCUCCCCCGGCCUGAGUGAGCCAGAGCCCCCGACUCAGCUGCUCCUUUAACCCUGUCCUGUCUGAGUGAAGCACAGACGCCCUUAGGCGACGUACAUGCAGAGGUGGGGCUGGAUCCAAAGCUGAACCCCAGGAGCUGUGCGAACAAAGAAGAGAAAGGGAAAUCUCUCCCGGCAGCCUCAGGAGGAGCGAAUUAAAUCUCCACAGUCGGGAGUUUCCCUGGUGGUGCAGUGGUUGAGAGUCCGCCUGCCGAUGCAGGGGACACGGGUUCGUGUCCCGGUCCGGAAGGAUCCCAUAUGCCGCGGAGCGGCUGGGCCCGUGAGCCAUGGCCGCUGAGACUGCGCGUCCUGAGCCUGUGCUCCGCAACGGGAGAGGCCACAACAGUGAGAGGCCCGUGUGCCGCAAAAAAAAAAAAAAAAAAACAAACAAAAAAAACUUCCCAAAAUCUUGGAAAUAGAAUGCACAAAAUACAAGAAACCUUUAAGAAGGACCUAGAAGAACUAAAGGGCAAACAAACAAUGAUGAACAACACAAUAAAUGAAAUUAAAAAUUCUCUAGAAGGAAUCAAUAGCAGAAUAACUGAGGCAGAAGAAUGGAUAAGUGACCUGGAAGAUAAAAUAGUGGAAAUAACUACUGCAGAGCAGAAUAAAGAUAAAAGAAUGAAAAGAAUUGAGGACAGUCUCAGAGACCUCUGGGACAACACUAAAUGCACCAACAUUCAAAUUAUAGGGGUCCCAGAAGAAGAAAAGAAAAAAAAAAAGGGACCGAGAAAAUAUUUGA
This is a long non-coding RNA of Orcinus orca (killer whale), 3118 nucleotides long. RefSeq lists it as uncharacterized. NCBI's taxonomy places the organism in Eukaryota, Metazoa, Chordata, Mammalia, Artiodactyla, Delphinidae. The record is from RefSeq and is a predicted model, not a curated record. The transcript has 2 exons.